UUGACGGUGUACGGCCAGCGUCCCGGUUCGGGGCGCAGGAUGUCCUCGCCGAAGUAGUCGCCGUCGGCCAGCAUCCCCAGUUUGGUGUCGUCGCCGUACUUGCCGGUGCCGAUCUUGCUGGCUUUGCCGUGCGCCAUCAGGAAUCCGGUGUCGAUGGUGUCCCCGACGGACACGAUGACCUGACCGGCCUCGAAGUCCCGCUGUUCCAGCACCCCGGCGAUCGCCUCGAGGGUGGGUUCGUCGUCGAAUCCACGCAGCAGCGGCAACUCCGACAGCGUCGGCGGGAUGACCUGGACCCGGUCCCCGACGUUGGAGAACUGGACCCGUCCGGUGCCCACGGCGUAGCUGAGCCGACGGUUCACCCGGAAGGUGCCGCCGUUGGUCUGCACCCAGGGCAGCAGCCGCAGCAACCAGCGCGAGGAGAUGCCCUGCAUCUGGGGCACGGUCUUGGUCGUCGUCGCCAGGUUGCGGGCCGCAGCGGUGCUGAGACUCAGCUG
This 497-nucleotide antisense RNA is filed under the name Stackebrandtia nassauensis DSM 44728. RNAcentral describes it as "Saccharopolyspora sRNA 350". It matches the Rfam family "Saccharopolyspora sRNA 350". The record is from Rfam by way of RNAcentral. Lineage: Bacteria; Bacillati; Actinomycetota; Actinomycetes; Glycomycetales; Glycomycetaceae.